CGCCUCUUGAACAAAAAUAAGAGGUCCAGCCUGCCCAGUGACUAAUAUUCAACGGCCGCGGUAUCCUAACCGUGCGAAGGUAGCGCAAUCACUUGUUCUUUAAAUGGGGACUAGUAUGAAUGGCAUCACGAGGGUUAUACUGUCUCCUUUUUCUAAUCAGUGAAUCUAAUCUCCCCGUGAAGAAACGGGGAUACACCUACAAGACGAGAAGACCCUAUGGAGCUUUAAAUACCUCUUCAAACGUUGGACCCCCUCCCCAGUUUUAAACUCACCUAUAUUAACCCCGUACGCUAUGAAGACAACUUUAGGUUGGGGUGACCGCGGAGUACAACAUAACCUCCACGCUGAAUCAGACUCUUUAAGCCUGAACCAAGAGCCACUGCUCAAAGCACUAAGAAAUUAACAUCUAUUGACCCAAAACAUUUGAUCAACGAACCAAGUUACCCUAGGGAUAACAGCGCAAUCCAUUUCAAGAGUCCAUAUCGACAAAUGGGUUUACGACCUCGAUGUUGGAUCAGGGUAUCCCAGUGGUGCAGCCGCUACUAAUGGUUCGUUUGUUCAACGAUUAAAACCC
This 574-nucleotide ribosomal RNA is filed under the name Scinax fuscomarginatus (brown-bordered snouted treefrog). RNAcentral's name for it is "partial 16S ribosomal RNA". It matches the Rfam family "Bacterial large subunit ribosomal RNA", at positions 1816 to 2596 of the family's 2925-position model. The record is from RNAcentral. Lineage: Eukaryota; Metazoa; Chordata; Amphibia; Anura; Hylidae.